GCCGCGGUGAAUACGUUCCCGGGCCUUGUACACACCGCCCGUCACACCACGAGAGCUUGCAACACCCGAAGUCGGUGCGGUAACCCUUACGGGAGCCAGCCGCCGAAGGUGGGGCAAGUGAUUGGGGUGAAGUCGUAACAAGGUAGCCGUACCGGAAGGUGCGGCUGGAUCACCUCCUUUCUAAGGA
This 187-nucleotide ribosomal RNA is filed under the name Geobacillus sp. LEMMJ02. RNAcentral describes it as "partial 16S ribosomal RNA". It matches the Rfam family "Bacterial small subunit ribosomal RNA", at positions 1356 to 1533 of the family's 1533-position model. The record is from RNAcentral. Lineage: Bacteria; Bacillati; Bacillota; Bacilli; Caryophanales; Anoxybacillaceae.